AUUGAACGCUGGCGGCAGGCCUAACACAUGCAAGUCGAACGGUAACAGGAAGACGCUUGCUUCUUUGCUGACGAGUGGCGGUCGGGUGAGUAAUGUCUGGGAAACUGCCUGAUGGAGGGGGAUAACUACUGGAAACGGUAGCUAAUACCGCAUAACGUCGCAAGACCAAAGAGGGGGACCUUCGGGCCUCUUGCCAUCGGAUGUGCCCAGAUGGGAUUAGCUAGUAGGUGGGGUAACGGCUCACCUAGGCGACGAUCCCUAGCUGGUCUGAGAGGAUGACCAGCCACACUGGAACUGAGACACGGUCCAGACUCCUACGGGAGGCAGCAGUGGGGAAUAUUGCACAAUGGGCGCAAGCCUGAUGCAGCCAUGCCGCGUGUAUGAAGAAGGCCUUCGGGUUGUAAAGUACUUUCAGCGGGGAGGAAGGGAGUAAAGUUAAUACCUUUGCUCAUUGACGUUACCCGCAGAAGAAGCACCGGCUAACUCCGUG
This 490-nucleotide ribosomal RNA is filed under the name uncultured bacterium. RNAcentral's name for it is "partial 16S ribosomal RNA". It matches the Rfam family "Bacterial small subunit ribosomal RNA", at positions 30 to 507 of the family's 1533-position model. The record is from RNAcentral.